Long non-coding RNA from Octodon degus (degu), 724 nucleotides. RefSeq lists it as uncharacterized. The record is from RefSeq and is a predicted model, not a curated record. Lineage: Eukaryota; Metazoa; Chordata; Mammalia; Rodentia; Octodontidae. The transcript has 3 exons.
GAAGGAAGGACUUCCCAAAGGUAGAAAGAGGGUUUAGCUUGGUGCUGGCAUUGAACUGAGACUCUAAGUAUGCUAAGCACGUACUCUACCACUGAACUAAAAUUCCAACCCAGAAAAGAGUUUUGAAGAGUCGGGGGAUUGGGGCAGGAUUUGACUUUGGUCAAUGCCCUGGUUGACAUUCUGGGAGGUCUUGUCAUAGGAGAACGGUCAAAGGUAAAAACGAAGAUGAUAAUAAUUUUUUUUUGAAAAGUGGAAAAAAUGAAGCAGAAAUAAGAUUGGAAGGAAAAGAAAGCCUGGGAAGCUGCCUCAAACACCAAAAUAAUCCCCAAAUGAAUUUCUUACAUAUCCCUGCUUUGAAAGAUGAAGCAAGCACAGUACAUUCAAUUCUGUCUACUGGGGUGAAUGACAAUUCUCCAGAAGAAGGAACACCUGGGGGCAGUUUCAGGCACAGAAGAGAAAGGAGCAGAGCCUGUGACAGCAGGAGGAAGAUACAUCAGGAGGAGCUGCACCUCAAUCUCUCUGCCUCUGUUUCCCUUCUUCCCUCCCAGGGCUGAGAGCAAGAGGAAAGAACCUGAUAAUGAAGGCAGUUAAAGGCAGAGGGUAGCUGUGUGGGCAAGUCUGGAGGAUUUUCAGGGCUGAGCCUCUUUCCUCCUCUUGUGGAGGAUAAUUGUGUGUGGUGGUGGUGGGGGGGAGGGUACAGACAGACAGUCCCCUAGAUGCAUGA